Solea senegalensis (Senegalese sole) is the source of this 621-nucleotide long non-coding RNA. RefSeq lists it as uncharacterized. NCBI's taxonomy places the organism in Eukaryota, Metazoa, Chordata, Actinopteri, Pleuronectiformes, Soleidae. The record is from RefSeq and is a predicted model, not a curated record. The transcript is spliced from 4 exons.
CAAGUGUCACCUGUUGAUGUGCACAUGAAGCUGUCCUCUGGGCCGUCCCUGCUCUCUGGGCACACCCUUGCACUUUUAAAGGAACAGUGGCAGGCAGCCAAGCACUAUGGACCUGGGGGGUAGAUGGCAUCAGAUGGGAUUUGGACACACUCAGACUCUGCCUGGCACUCUGACCAUCACUACUGCUACAUCCACACUCUUACGCUGUGCAGCGAGACGCAUUGCCGUUCCACAAUAAAUGCAGAGAGCUGGGGGGGGGCGGCGGCAGCUGAAGAGGCUGAUAUCUUCUGACUGGCUGGCCAGAAAGAUGAGUGACUGACCGACUGUAAAGGGUGUAAGAAAGAGGACAGAUUGAUUGUCUCUCUUUUCAAAUGCUGUAAGAAGUUUGGAAUUUUUGAAUAUAAACAAUAUUGAAAUUGAAGUCUUCAAUCACCUUUAUAUAUUGUACAAUCCUUAUCUUAUUGACAAUGUACACAGACUUUUUUUAGCAUUGAGGACCUCGUGUACACUAAUGUAUACAAUCAUACAAGUUAAUUUGUUAACUUAAGUUAAUAAGUAGUAGCUUAAGCUGGGCUUUCGACCCAGUAUGAGACGUUGGUUUUUAUAUUUGUUAUCUUAUUU